RNAcentral lists this ribosomal RNA (464 nucleotides) under uncultured bacterium. Its description in RNAcentral is "partial 16S ribosomal RNA". It matches the Rfam family "Bacterial small subunit ribosomal RNA", at positions 339 to 795 of the family's 1533-position model. The record is from RNAcentral.
CUACGGGGGGCAGCAGUGAGGAAUAUUGCGCAAUGGGGGAAACCCUGACGCAGCGACGCCGCGUGGAUGAUGAAGGCCUUAGGGUCGUAAAAUCCUGUCAGGUGGGAAGAAGUGGAUAUAGAUUAAUACUCUAUUUCUUUGACGGUACCACCAAAGGAAGCACCGGCUAACUCCGUGCCAGCAGCCGCGGUAAUACGGAGGGUGCAAACGUUGUUCGGAAUUACUGGGCGUAAAGCGCGCGUAGGCGGUUUGUUAAGUCAGAUGUGAAAGUCCAUGACUCAACUAUGGAAGUGCAUUUGAACUGGCAGACUUGAGUACUGGAGGGGGUGAUGGAAUUCCCGGUGUAGAGGUGAAAUUCGUAGAUAUCGGGAGGAAUACCGGUGGCGAAGGCGAUCACCUGGCCAGAUACUGACGCUGAGGUGCGAAAGCGUGGGGAGCAAACAGGAUUAGAUACCCGAGUAGUC